Long non-coding RNA from Alligator mississippiensis (American alligator), 1340 nucleotides. RefSeq lists it as uncharacterized. Lineage: Eukaryota; Metazoa; Chordata; Crocodylia; Alligatoridae. The record is from RefSeq and is a predicted model, not a curated record. The transcript has 3 exons.
GCAAAGCUGUUGGUCUGAUCCUGCAUGCUGCAAGGAGCAGUUCUCCUGCAAGGGGAAGUGCUGCAGGAGGCAGUUUGAAUAUCCAGGACAGAAGAUCCUCCUUCUUUGAUGCUGUGGAGAAACACAGAAUACUGCUCAAUACAACAGGGUGCUGACUCCUCAAAACCUGGAAAGAGUAACACAGGAUCCAGAAUGACUUAUUUUCUGUUUUGAUUCUUUAUUCCAUGAGUACUACUAGUUCAUUAAUAACUUAAAUGAUGUGACCAGGAAGACAAGUAGGCUAUUUCUAAGGGGACCUGAAGAACGCAUACACGUGCAUACAAUCAGAUAUGCAUCUUUACUUGUUAAACACCUACUUUGAUUACAUGUGAAAAUUAUGCAAGCAGCUAGACACGUGAUAACUAUCAUACUAAAAUAUGAACUAAGUGGCAAGCCACACUAUAAAGAUGCCCCUGGCGACCUUUCUAAGUCAUUGUCUAACACAGUGACUAUAAUGAAAAGCCAUUUCCUAUUUGCUAUUCAGGUUUUUUUUUUUUUUUGCCACUACAUUAAAUCAAUACAUCAACUACUUUAAUGUUUCAGAAAACUGCUAAUGCAACAUUUGGGCUAAUUAACUUCUUAUUUUUUGUUACCGUCUUGUGCUAAAAAUUCUUUGUAUUAGAUCUUGCUGUCUAGAGUAUUAUGUUUUACGACAUGAAAAUAAUAGACUGACUAAAUUUGUCCUUGAAGUACUGAACCAGUGUAUUAUGUUAAGGAGAACAAAUAAAGAAAUAAAUGUUAAUCACUACCUGGGAAAAAAACAAAGUAGGAAAACAAAAAGUAAUGCUCUUAAAACAAAUAAUGUUGAUUCAGCCUUAAGUAACAAUGGUUUCCAGUGGUACACUUGCAGAGCCAGUUGUAGAAAAAAGUGUAUCCUGGGUGGUUUGCGGAAGGUGCCCCCUCUCCAGUUGAAGGGAUGUCAGCGGGUGCAUAUAUGCUGUGGGGAGCACGGCUUCUUAGUUGAGGCCAGCUCAUCUCCCUUCCCUACAGAGCAGAGCAGAGCAGGGACCCAAGACACCCAGUGAUAUUUAACUAUGCACAGGUUUAAUUUAUACAAAAUAAUAUAAAACUUAUAACCAUAAACUUAUAUCUAUCUAUCCAUCCAUCCAGAUACAUCUGUACAUGCCUGUUAUUUACAAAUAUAGGUUUAUACAGGGAAUAUCUCUUUUCAACCCUGAACUCAGACUUAGCCCUAUCCUCUGUGGCCUUCUGAUUACUCUGCAACAGGCCCUUUCAGCAGCAGGCAAAGGAGCACUUAAUGAUAAAACACAGGUUAAUUAACAAAUCAACGACAAAAAUAG